GCGCAGGCGGAUUGGUCAGUCUGUCUUAAAAGUUCGGGGCUUAACCCCGUGAUGGGAUGGAAACUGCCAAUCUAGAGUAUCGGAGAGGAAAGUGGAAUUCCUAGUGUAGCGGUGAAAUGCGUAGAUAUUAGGAAGAACACCAGUGGCGAAGGCGACUUUCUGGACGAAAACUGACGCUGAGGCGCGAAAGCCAGGGGAGCGAACGGGAUUAGAUACCCCGGUAGUCCUGGCCGUAAACGAUGGGUACUAGGUGUAGGAGGUAUCGACCCCUUCUGUGCCGGAGUUAACGCAAUAAGUACCCCGCCUGGGGAGUACGACCGCAAGGUUGAAACUCAAAGGAAUUGACGGGGGCCCGCACAAGCGGUGGAGUAUGUGGUUUAAUUCGACGCAACGCGAAGAACCUUACCAGGUCUUGACAUUGAUGGACAGAACUAGAGAUAG
This 441-nucleotide ribosomal RNA is filed under the name uncultured bacterium. RNAcentral's name for it is "bacterial SSU rRNA". It matches the Rfam family "Bacterial small subunit ribosomal RNA", at positions 569 to 1009 of the family's 1533-position model. The record is from RNAcentral.